RNAcentral lists this ribosomal RNA (321 nucleotides) under uncultured soil bacterium. Its description in RNAcentral is "bacterial SSU rRNA". It matches the Rfam family "Bacterial small subunit ribosomal RNA", at positions 26 to 349 of the family's 1533-position model. The record is from RNAcentral.
AGAUUGAACGCUGGCGGCAGGCCUAACACAUGCAAGUCGAGCGGUAGAGAGGUGCUUGCAUCUCUUGAGAGCGGCGGACGGGUGAGUAAUGCCUAGGAUCUGCCUAGUGGUGGGGGAUAACGUUCGGAAACGGACGCUAAUACCGCAUACGUCCUACGGGAGAAAGCGGGGGACCUUCGGGCCUCGCGCCAUUAGAUGAGCCUAGGUCGGAUUAGCUAGUUGGUGAGGUAAUGGCUCACCAAGGCGACGAUCCGUAACUGGUCUGAGAGGAUGAUCAGUCACACUGGAACUGAGACACGGUCCAGACCUCCUACGGGAGCG